GUGGGGAAUUUUGGACAAUGGGCGAAAGCCUGAUCCAGCCAUGCCGCGUGCAGGAUGAAGGCCUUCGGGUUGUAAACUGCUUUUGUACGGAACGAAAAGACUCCUUCUAAUAAAGGGGGUCCAUGACGGUACCGUAAGAAUAAGCACCGGCUAACUACGUGCCAGCAGCCGCGGUAAUACGUAGGGUGCAAGCGUUAAUCGGAAUUACUGGGCGUAAAGCGUGCGCAGGCGGUUAUAUAAGACAGAUGUGAAAUCCCCGGGCUCAACCUGGGAACUGCAUUUGUGACUGUAUAGCUAGAGUACGGUAGAGGGGAAUGGAAUUCCGCGUGUAGCAGUGAAAUGCGUAGAUAUGCGGAGGAACACCGAUGGCGAAGGCAAUCCCCUGGACCUGUACUGACGCUCAUGCACGAAAGCGUGGGGAGCAAACAGGAUUAGAAACCCGAGUAGUCC
This 450-nucleotide ribosomal RNA is filed under the name uncultured bacterium. RNAcentral describes it as "partial 16S ribosomal RNA". It matches the Rfam family "Bacterial small subunit ribosomal RNA", at positions 354 to 796 of the family's 1533-position model. The record is from RNAcentral.